This 444-nucleotide ribosomal RNA is filed under the name Aleiodes declanae. RNAcentral's name for it is "LSU rRNA". The record is from RNAcentral. Lineage: Eukaryota; Metazoa; Arthropoda; Insecta; Hymenoptera; Braconidae.
CCUGAGAAACCCAAAAGAUCGAAUGGGGAGAUUCAUCGUCAGCUCAUUUUGUAUAUGUAUAAGUUAUGAUGCGGGUUACUACUUGUAGUAUUGCCUGCACAUUCUUGUAUAUUUAGUUGCAAGAUGUUGUCGGCGUGCACUUCUCCCCUAGUAGGACGUCGCGACCUGUUGGGUGUCGGUCUACGGCCCAAGUGAUAGCCUUUAAUGUAAUUCAAAAAAACAUUGAAGAUCCUUGGUGUUUUCUGACCGGCUACUUGGCAGUAUUCGUACGGUAUUUAGCCGCUAAAUUUAUUGAGCGUCCAUAUCCGUCACAAGCGAGGCUAAUUUACUGAUAGUACGGACCUAGUGCCGUCGUUGGUAUUGGCCAGCUGUUGGUUGAUGGUAUUCUAGGACUGGCUAAAAUUAAUUACCGGUCGGCGAUGCUACUGCUUUGGGUACUUUCAG